UCCAUGGAUAAAUACUUAAAAUAGUGUUCAAAACCAAGACGGAAGUCACGGAAUCAUUUUUUUUUUUUUAAAUAUUCAGUCUUUUAUCAAAUAAAAACUUUGAUAAAAAUGCACAUCUGGUGGGUAUAUUGAUUUAAAUUUGCUUAUAUAAAUAACAAAAUCCAAGACCUGGCUGUACCUCACUCUCAAACUUAUUCUCCGUCCGUAGAAUAUUCUUCAUCUCUUCUAAACCAGAACGUUGGGAAUUGUUGUUGUGAUGGGAAUAUAUGAUGAAGAUCUAGAGAGACAUGAGGCAGAACAGAUGGAAUCAGAGAAAAGAGUGAAGACGUUUAUAGCUUGUUUGUGGUCAUUGGUGGUAAGCUUGACAGGAGGAUUGAUGUUAGGGUAUUGGGUAUAUAAAUACCAUCCAACAAAUACUCAGCUAUGGAUGGUGCCCUUUGGUCUACUUCUCUUCGCUACUCCGGCCUUUAUUUGGUUUGCUGUUAUCUUUUCUGAGAUCUGCAACUGCAACUCUAAGAGCGGUCACGUCGUUCCUGCAUCAAGUUCGUUAGGUGACUCAGUUCAUGACCCCAAGAGAUCAUGAGUUACCGUGUAAAAUUAUCAUUGCUUCUGUAAACCUUCUUGUAAAAUCCCCCUGCUACAAUUUCCGGUCAUUCUCUGGCUUUAAUUUGAGAUGUACUUGAUUGAUUACCAAAUUAAAAUGAUUGGAAUGGAUAAUAUACAUAUAUAUAUAUAUAUAUUAUGGAUAAAAAGUUUUGAUUA
Molecule: long non-coding RNA, 762 nt
Organism: Mangifera indica (mango)
Lineage: Eukaryota; Viridiplantae; Streptophyta; Magnoliopsida; Sapindales; Anacardiaceae
Exons: 2
Source: RefSeq, a predicted model, not a curated record